GUUAGCUGGUACAGAGCAGUACUGGUGGAUCUUCCCGCUCUGUAGGCAUGAUGAGCCGCAUGCAGGAGUGCUCUCUUCAGCGUUUUUGUCCUUAUUUCAUGAUCUUCUCCAUGGUUUUUAGUAGGAAAGACGUUAGGCUGAUUGCCCUGAAAGCUUUCGUCAAUGAGUAGUCUUUCCUUCCUACUUUGGGCAUGAAGAUCACCUUCGCUGUCCUCCAUACUUCGGGGAUGUACGCCAUUGCGAGGCUUUCUCUCAGCAGCCGAGCCAGGUGAGGCAGUAAAAACUGCUCCCCUGUUGUAAGAGCGCUGGAAAGAUGCCAUCCACUCCCGGAGACUUGAAUCUCUCAAAAGAGGCCAUUGCCCACCCGAUCGAGUCCGCUAUAAACAGCUGUUUGGCGAUUCUCCAAUCCUCGCAGGAUGGCCUGUGUUCGAUCAUGGGUAGAGAAGCUCCGUGGCUUUGUCCUCUGUGAUGGUCGUAAACCUGCUCGCUGUGAACCUGCUCGUUAUGCAGGUUCACCUGGCCGACUUCCGUAUUGACGGCCAUUAUAAUAAUGGUUCGAGAAAGGGCAGUUCCUCAUCCCCACCGUCCAGUGGGUCUCCUGGCCCAUCGAGGAGUUCCUGCGUGGAUGGUAGCUCUGCUCUCUGGCCGCAGAAACUAACAUCGGGGACGUCGGGGGUCGCCGCUGGCAUUGGCUGUCCAGUCCUGCUUCCGCUGGGCUGAUUCGCCACCUCGUCCACCUGCAUUGCUACUACCUCCGGAGCUGCCACAGUCUGUUUUGCAAUACUCUUGCUUUGCUGAGUCGCAGCUUUUUGUGCUCCCUUGCUGCCAGUGGCUGCGGGCUUGUGGGACCGCAUCACCACCGUGCUGUACCUGUAGUACAAGCGGAAGCUCGCUGCCCGGACGUAUUUGUCCACCCGGUGGGGAGCCGGUGCGGAUGGUUGGCCUUUGUGUUGCUGCCCCUCAACCUGUUGGAGCUGAAGGGCUCCUGCGGCAUCAUCUGGCCGCUCUUCCGCUUCGCGGUUUGAGCAUACGCGUCCGAGGACGCUGCUCUUCCAUCGCCACGCGAGCUGACACGGUCCUGGCACGCUCUUUUGCUGGGGAUACGUUGCUCCCUUUGCUCCUACUCCUGGCCAUAGCCUCCGCUACCUCGGGAGUCUUCCCAUCCCGGAGGUAACGCAGGUACCAUUUCAUGCUGGCACCGCUCAUACCUUUCCUGUGUAGGUCAUCACACCCGUCGAGCUUGCCAGCUCCUGGGAGAGGGCGUUGCCCACCUCUUCUGCGCCUCCUCCUCCUUCUACGAGCACCGUCGGGCUCUGCCCGAUGUGACUCACCCGAGUCCAACCCGCUACGCCUUUUGGCGGGGGUCUUAGCGGCGCUCGUAGCUGCCUCAGCGGUAAUAGACACUUUCGCCAUGCGAGCGUCGCUGCAUGAGGGCAUAUCGUCUUCAUUCUCCCUGGCAUACUCCUCAAAGAGCGCCCGCUCCUCUGGCGAGAGAGCGUCAAGGAAACUAAACUUUCACCUAGCUCCUUGAGCACCCUUGCCUGCCGCUGCACCGAUCUCCUUCUCAUUGUCCGUGGCCGUUGUCCUUGGUUGUUGCUUCGUUGUCUGGCUGUUGGGUAUGGUUGUUCUUUGUUUAUUUGUGUUCAUCUUGUCCGUACGACCCUUGGCUCAACAAGGUGAGCUAUCGGGUCUAUUGUUUUAAUGGGGAACUAUGCCGCGCCAGAGCACCUUGACGCGUUAAGGCCACAGUUACUCCCCAAUUCGGCCCGGUGUUGGGCAGGAUCCGUUAGAAUACAGCCGAAUUUACCUCCUGACACGUUAUGACACCGGUUGUGUUAACUUAAUGUAUGAUUAUAAAAAACUUAUUGGACAUACACAUAUGAAGAUGCGGGUUUGUACAAAAAUAUAAAUUAGAAUUUUCUCGAUUCUGUUGCAGUUUUCGUCAUUAAUAUUUGUUCAAGGUGCAGUUCUACUGAUACUCCACAUUCUUGUUUUAGGUUAAUAUUGCAUAACUUUCAGACCGCUUUCCUGUAUUCUGUGAAAACAGACCGACAAAAGUUCUAAACUACUCCUUUGUACCCAACAAUUCUUUUGUGGUCACGCUCUACCAUGCCAUUUAUUCUUUAGACAUACAUAUGCACAUAUGUGAAUGUGUAUUUGUUUUUAGUUAGGUGUCUGAACAACCUAGCUACAGAUCCCCGAGUUGGUGCAUCAUAACGUACGUGAUGUCUUCCAUUCCGUAUAGACACGGCUUUCAGACACCUACAUUGGAUUUUUAGAUGUUUUUUUUUUUGAUCCCUGAGUUGGUGGACGGAGAAUGGAGUCAUGUGUAGAAGUUCACGCAAGUGAGGAAAGUUCUCUGAUCUCAACCAGCUCACGACUUUCGGUCUCUGACCCAAGUAUCCUCUAGGUAGCCUAAGAACAUCCAUUUGAAGGCGAGCUAAAGUGAGAAAGCGAAACAUCCCCUCCGAGGGUUGUGCGCUGUGUUUGCGACCCGCCACUUAGCCUCGGAUGAGUGACCCCCCUUUUGAUGACGAUCAUGGCAAACGAAUUAAGGACUAUGAUUUAGGGAGAGUUGGUGGACGAGGUAUUCCCUCUCCUGAGUACGUAGGGACAUCCUACAACAUCCAACAAAAAUAACCAGAGGGCUAAUGCUGAAGAUGCCUCUGACCCGUUAAAACCCUCGCGGGCCGAAGGAUGCUCCCGUCGGAAUCGCAUCCUAAAAAGUAAGGGAAGGGAAGAGAGGGGGCAUCGAGCGAAUUUUGAUUUUUGAAUUGAAAAGGGUAGAGUUAGAAACGAUGUUUGAGUGAUACUCGCACUCCUGGAGAGGAGAAUGGAGGAAAUCGUUCAGAUUUGUCUUUUACAAAUAGAAUCCGUGGGCAAACGAGAUAGCAGGUCUUGGACCCGCUGUUCGGCUGACGCAACCCUGACUAUCAGCCGAGGUAGCGAAAAGGCAACGCCUUUCACUACCCAAACCGCGAUACGAAAAAUAACGCUACAGGAGCCUCCCAGCCCUAAAAAGUUGGCAACGCAUACGACGUCGCAGAUAUGCGAAUGUUCUCAAAGGCUUCCAAAACCUGUGCUACCUCUCAACUACCCGGCAGAGGCGUUGGGAUUAGAAGACCUUACCAAUCUCCUUACGGAAGUGAUAUUCUUAGGGUCUGUAUACGCAGCCAGUGAACUGCGAGGAGGAGAUGUCCGAUAUCUGACUAAGAGAGAUCGCUCCUAAGCUGAUUGGCCGGGAAGACCCCAUCAACCCAUUCAGAUCAUGCACAACAUUACGAUAUUUCUCUCUAGAUGUGCAGGCUUCAGGGGUUCAGGGUUCACCCUCCGACUUGAGCACCUCGGCAUAUCGUGUGUUCAGCAGCACGGCUGAUAACUCAGGACGGAGGCUAAACCUUUGUAUAGACGAAGAGUCGUACAAAUUCGUCUGGAGAGAAGCGCAGGUUCACUAAGGUCAAUCUGGGCAUACUGCAGAUCUAAGAACCAUGAGUCAUCAAAGGGAAGGUCAAAGUCCUCAAGACGGAUGUCAACAAGGGAAUCUAGGAUCUCUCUGAGUUCCUGACACAGGACACAGUUGCUAUGCAAGCCCAGGACAGCAAAGGAGCGGACUUCGUUCUAGCUACAGCCUUUUUCCCAGGAUAGACACUCACACCACCCCCAGAGACUGUAGAGCUGUUCCCCUGACCCUUGGAUGUGAAGCAAACGCUUAUCACUGGUAAUGGGGUAGUACGGAUUGCAACAAACAAGGAGUGAAGUGCUCGACUUUGAGCAACGAGCUAAUGCAGAAGCGUUGAGAUCUCGACCUGGUUAGAUAGCUGUUCACAAGAAAGGUGGCGUGAGCCGGGGCGUUUGCGCGGUGAAACUUCCAAUCGGCUGCGAUAUGCUGUCGGACCCGAUUGACUCUUCGUUUGAGAGUCUUGAGGACUUCGACGUAAAACUUGGCGUUAAUGAUUUAUGCAGGAGGAACAAAAACAAACAAAUGUCAAAAAAGACAAAGAGCAUCGUUUUCACUUUGGAUUUGCUCAUACUUCCGGUCUUCAUCAGGGACUUUUUCCCGGCCCCCCAAAAAGAACUGAUGCCACGGAAACUCAUCACUCCUUGCUUAAGCAAGUUCUGGGAAAUCCUGCUUGAUCAUAUCAAACGUCUCUACCGCAGAUUUACUGGGUUUCACACAAAAUUUAAUCCCGUACCUCUGCUCAAACGAAUGCUGCAUUUUCGGCUUGCACCACUCACAGAAACACGUCGUGCAAAAAUUUUUGUCCUGGGUAUCCAGGUCCUCGGAGACAACUGACCAGCCGCUCGUUCGUUAGCUAGGAACGCCCUCUACUGAGCCCAGCCGAUGCGCGAGUUAAUACCAGUAUCAACGACACUUAUACACAAGUAUAUGAGAAACGCUGAUAAAACCGUAUCUGUCCUAAUCAAAUAAACAAGAGUCUCAAACACAAGACUUUGAACUCAUACCACACCAUACCCGAAUACAUAGGCAUGCAUAGACCGCACGAUAAGCACUUUUUUACAACAAAUAAUACAAUUAGACUUUAGACCUAACCCACAAAACAUGAAUAUGUUAUCAACUUAACGAAUAAUACCAUAGGAUAAUACGAAAACAUGUUCAUUAAGUAUGUGAAUUUCUAA
Long non-coding RNA from Bactrocera dorsalis (oriental fruit fly), 4638 nucleotides. RefSeq lists it as uncharacterized. The record is from RefSeq and is a predicted model, not a curated record. NCBI's taxonomy places the organism in Eukaryota, Metazoa, Arthropoda, Insecta, Diptera, Tephritidae. The transcript is spliced from 3 exons.